AGAGUUUGAUCCUGGCUCAGGAUGAACGCUGGCGGCGUGCUUAACACAUGCAAGUCGAACGAAGCACUCAGGAGCGACUUCGGUCAAUCCUGUUUGACUUAGUGGCGGACGGGUGAGUAACGCGUGAGGAACCUGCCUUGCAGUGGGGAAUAACAGUUGGAAACGACUGCUAAUACCGCAUAAUGCAGAGAGAUCGCAUGGUCUUUCUGCCAAAGAUUUAUCGCUGUGAGAUGGCCUCGCGUCUGAUUAGCUAGUUGGUGAGGUAACGGCCCACCAAGGCGACGAUCAGUAGCCGGACUGAGAGGUUGAUCGGCCACAUUGGGACUGAGACACGGCCCAGACUCCUACGGGAGGCAGCAGUGGGGAAUAUUGGGCAAUGGGCGCAAGCCUGACCCAGCAACGCCGCGUGAAGGAAGAAGGCUUUCGGGUUGUAAACUUCUUUUAUUAGGGACGAUAAUGACGGUACCUAUUGAAUAAGCUCCGGCUAACUACGUGCCAGCAGCCGCGGUAAUACGUAGGGAGCAAGCGUUAUCCGGAUUUACUGGGUGUAAAGGGCGUGUAGGCGGGACUGCAAGUCAGAUGUGAAAAACUAUGGGCUCAACUCAUAGCCUGCAUUUGAAACUGUAGUUCUUGAGUGCUGGAGAGGCAAAUGGAACUCCUCGUGUAGCGGUGAAAUGCGUAGAUAUUAGGAAGAACACCAGUGGCGAAGGCGAUUUGCUGGCCAGUAACUGACGCUGAGGCGCGAAAGUGUGGGGAGCAAACAGGAUUAGAUACCCUGGUAGUCCACACCGUAAACGAUAAAUACUAGGU
RNAcentral lists this ribosomal RNA (810 nucleotides) under uncultured bacterium. RNAcentral's name for it is "bacterial SSU rRNA". It matches the Rfam family "Bacterial small subunit ribosomal RNA", at positions 8 to 821 of the family's 1533-position model. The record is from RNAcentral.